AUACAGAGGGUGCGAGCGUUAAUCGGAAUUACUGGGCGUAAAGCGCGCGUAGGCGGCUACUUAAGUCAGAUGUGAAAUCCCCGGGCUCAACCUGGGAACUGCAUCUGAUACUGGGUAGCUAGAGUUUAGGAGAGGGAAGUAGAAUUUCAGGUGUAGCGGUGAAAUGCAUAGAGAUCUGAAGGAAUACCAGUGGCGAAGGCGGCUUCCUGGCCUAAAACUGACGCUGAGGUGCGAAAGCGUGGGUAGCAAACGGGAUUAGAAACCCUGGUAGUCC
This 274-nucleotide ribosomal RNA is filed under the name uncultured bacterium. RNAcentral describes it as "partial 16S ribosomal RNA". It matches the Rfam family "Bacterial small subunit ribosomal RNA", at positions 523 to 796 of the family's 1533-position model. The record is from RNAcentral.